This 555-nucleotide ribosomal RNA is filed under the name uncultured bacterium. Its description in RNAcentral is "bacterial SSU rRNA". It matches the Rfam family "Bacterial small subunit ribosomal RNA", at positions 66 to 614 of the family's 1533-position model. The record is from RNAcentral.
GCGGUAACAGGUGUAGCAAUACAUGCUGACGAGCGGCGAACGGGUGAGUAAUGCUUCGGAAUCUGCCCAAUGGUGGGGAAUAACCAGCCGAAAGGUUGGCUAAUACCGCAUAAGUCCUACGGGGGAAAGCAGGGGAUCGCAAGACCUUGCGCCGAUGGAUGAGCCGAAGUCGGAUUAGCUAGUUGGUAGGGUAACGGCCUACCAAGGCGACGAUCCGUAGCUGGUCUGAGAGGACGACCAGCCACACUGGGACUGAGACACGGCCCAGACUCCUACGGGAGGCAGCAGUGGGGAAUAUUGGACAAUGGGGGAAACCCUGAUCCAGCGACGCCGCGUGUGUGAAGAAGGCCUGCGGGUUGUAAAGCACUUUUAGUGGGGAUGAAAAGCUCAGGGCUAACACCUCUGGGUCUUGACCUAACCCAAAGAAAAAGCACCGGCUAACUCUGUGCCAGCAGCCGCGGUAAUACAGAGGGUGCGAGCGUUAAUCGGAAUUACUGGGCGUAAAGCGUGCGUAGACGGUUAUGUAAGUCGGGUGUGAAAGCCCCGGGCUCAACC